This 390-nucleotide unclassified non-coding RNA is filed under the name fungal sp. RNAcentral's name for it is "partial internal transcribed spacer region". The stretch from base 1 to 46 matches the Rfam family "Eukaryotic small subunit ribosomal RNA", at positions 1786 to 1831 of the family's 1831-position model. The record is from RNAcentral. Lineage: Eukaryota; Fungi.
AAGUCGUAACAAGGUUUCCGUAGGUGAACCUGCGGAAGGAUCAUUAACACGUAUCCAAACGUAAAACCCCCCCCGUGAACAUUCAAUCCUGCUCUUGUAGCCCGGAAAGUAGUUUUGAUUCAGAGACCUCUGGCUACGUGAGAACAUUGGAACAGUUACAAUCGAGCGGUAGUUUCAUAGGCAUUGUUUCCCCAAGCAGUUAGUGUCUGAAAGUGUCACUGAUUGUGCAAGGAUAGCGCUUCAACGAUUCCUGUAGACCGUACACUCGGGCAGGAGCUAUGCCAAAGGGUCCCCAUGCCCCCUUAUAACCCCACAGUUUAAUGUGAAGCUCAAUGUAAUACAUUGGGUAAAAAAACCGAACAACUGUUAACAAUGGAUAUCUUGGUUCUC